UUAGUUAAAACCAAAAAGAGGUAUAUUAUUGUUAAUAAUAAAAUUGAAUUUAUUUCUAACUAAU
This 64-nucleotide transfer RNA is filed under the name Bemisia tabaci. RNAcentral's name for it is "tRNA-Asn". Lineage: Eukaryota; Metazoa; Arthropoda; Insecta; Hemiptera; Aleyrodidae. The record is from RNAcentral. RNAcentral also lists the same sequence under 1 other name.